Molecule: ribosomal RNA, 253 nt
Filed under: uncultured bacterium
Lineage: Bacteria
Description: partial 16S ribosomal RNA
Rfam family: Bacterial small subunit ribosomal RNA
Source: RNAcentral
UACGUAGGGUCCGAGCGUUGUCCAGAAUUAUUGGGCGUAAAGGGCUCGUAGGCGGUCUGUUGCGUCGGGAGUGAAAACUUACAGCUUAACUGUGAGCGUGCUUUCGAUACGGGCAGACUUGAGGCAUUCAGGGGAGAACGGAAUUCCCGGUGUAGCGGUGAAAUGUGUAGAGAUCGGGAGGAACACCGGUGGCGAAGGCGGCCUUCUGGACGGUGACUGACGCUGAGGUACGAAGGCAUGGGUAUCGAUUGGG